GGAUGACUCGUUAUGACCACAAGGAAGUCGAAGCACGAUAGCACCAUGAUCAUGAAAUAAGAUACUUUACUUCGAAUAUAUGCAGAGGAUUUCCAAAAACUGACGAUCACCAAUGUGUUUAAAAUCAUUCCUAUGCAAAUAAGCAUUACGUUCACAACGCACAAAAAUAUUAACUGAAUGUAAACUUUCAAAUCCAUCUUCGAAUGAUAAAAUCAACAAAUUGAACAUUAGCUUCCGUGUUGUUGUAUGUUCUAUCAAAGGGAACAGAGCGUAGGCGGACUAUACGGCAAUCACUAUACGGAUACUCAGGAAUUUGAAUAUGGAUACUCAGGGAUAUCACUUCC
Paramuricea clavata is the source of this 344-nucleotide non-coding RNA. The record is from the annotation of a GenBank genome assembly. NCBI's taxonomy places the organism in Eukaryota, Metazoa, Cnidaria, Anthozoa, Malacalcyonacea, Plexauridae.